RNAcentral lists this ribosomal RNA (465 nucleotides) under uncultured bacterium. RNAcentral's name for it is "partial 16S ribosomal RNA". It matches the Rfam family "Bacterial small subunit ribosomal RNA", at positions 339 to 795 of the family's 1533-position model. The record is from RNAcentral.
CUACGGGUUGCAGCAGUGAGGAAUUUUGCGCAAUGGGGGGAACCCUGACGCAGCAACGCCGCGUGAGUGAUGAAGGCUUUCGGGUCGUAAAGCUCUGUCAAGUGGGAAGAACCUAUGCAGUGUUAAUAUCACUGUAUACUGACGGUACCACUGAAGGAAGCACCGGCUAACUCCGUGCCAGCAGCCGCGGUAAUACGGGGGGUGCAAGCGUUAUUCGGAAUCAUUGGGCGUAAAGGGCACGUAGGCGGCUUGGUAAGUCAGAUGUGAAAGCCCGGGGCUUAACCCCGGAAGUGCAUUUGAUACUGUCAGGCUUGAGUAUCGGAGAGGGAAGUGGAAUUCCUGGUGUAGAGGUGAAAUUCGUAGAUAUCAGGAGGAACACCGGUGGCGAAGGCGACUUCCUGGACCAAUACUGACGCUGAGGUGCGAAGGCGUGGGUAGCAAACAGGAUUAGAUACCCUGGUAGUC